GUAAGUUUCACAGCUUUCUGAGCCCCUACUCGACCCAGGAAGCCCAGCUGGUACCUCCUCUCACUGGUAUGGCUCAAACCAGUGGGAGAAUUUGCAGAGGUCUGUGAGCAUCCCCUCCAGAGAAUCUCUGAUCUCCAAAAAUUUGGUCAAGAUCUAAAGUUUAUUUUGCUGUACACCUCCCUUCUUUUUUGGAGUUUUACUUGCUCCCAACAAGGAAGGAGAGACUUCCUGUAUCCAUCACAAUGAAAGAAUGGUAGAAAGCAGUCUUCAGCCUGAGACCCAUCCCUAGACUCUAUGGCACAAAGAGGCACUACAGAAAAUCCCAGAAUUUAUUCUGACUGAAGCAAUAUGCAACUGGCAAAACUGGCAGCUGAAAGGAUCCUGAAUAAGAAGGCCUCCCUAUUUCCUGCGACACAACAAUAUUAAAAUUAGGCCAUUUAAUAAUAUAAAAUAGUCUCUAAAUGUUCCAUGGAAAGGAAGAGUUGCAAGUCUCUCGCUUUCAACUGAAAGUCAGAAAUGAUUAAGUUUACUGAGGAAAGCAUGCCAAAACACAAAGACAGGCCAAAAACUAGAUCUCCUGCAUCAGUUAACUACAUUGUAAAUGCAAAGGAAAAAUUUUGGAAGGAAGUUAAAGUGCUGCUCCAGUGAACUUUAUGAAUGAUGAUAAAACCAAAGAGGCCUAUAGAUGAUAUGGAGAAAAUAUUAGUGAUCUGGAUAGAGGAUGAAGCAAGCCAUAGCAUUCUUUUAAGCCAAAGCCUAAUCUACAACAAGGCUCUAUUCUCUUCAAUUCUGUGAAGGCUGAGAGAGGUGAGGAAGCUGCAGAGGAAAAUUUAAAGAUAGUCGUAGUGAGUUCUAGAGAUUUAAGGAAAGAAGCUGUCCCCAUAACAUAAAAGUACCAGAUGGAGUAGUAAGUGUUGAUAUAGAAGCUGCGGCUAGUUAUACAGAAGAUCUAGCUGAGCUAAAUGAUGAAGGUGUCUACAUUAAAUAACAGAUUUGUAUUGUAGAUAAGGCAAUCUUCUGUUGGAAUAAGAUGUCAUCUGGGACUUUGAUAGCUCAAAAGAAGUCAUUGCCUGGUUUCAAAGCUUUAAAGGACAGGAUGACUUUCUUGUUAGGGGCUAAAGCAGCUUGUGAUAAGUGGAAGCCAAUGCUCAUUCAUCUUUCCAUUAAUCCUAGGGCCCUUAAUAAUUAAAUUUACUCUGCCUGUGCUCUAUCAAUGAAACAACAAAGCCUGGAUAAUAGCACAUCUAUUUGUAGCAUGGUUUACUGAAGAUUUAUACCCAUUUUUGAGAUUUACUGCUCAGAAAAAAAGAUUUCCUCAAAAUAUUACUGCUCAUUGACAAUGCACCUAGUUACACAAGAGCCCUACAAAGAGAUCAAUGUUGUUUGCAUACAUAACACAGCAUCCAUUCUGCAGCACAUGGAUCAAGGAGCAAUUUUGACUUACAAGUGUUAUUAGUUAAGAAAUGUACUUCAUAAACCUAUAGCUGCUAUAAAUAGUGAUUCCUCUGAUGGACCUGUGCUAAGAAAAUUGAAAAUCUUGUGGAAAGAAGUCAUCAUUCUAGAUGCUAUUAAGAACAUUCAUCAUUUAUGGAAAAAGGUGAAAACAUCAACGUUAACAGGAGUUUGGAAGAAGUGGAUUCCAAACCCCAUGGAUGACCUUGAAUGAGUCAAGACUUCAGUGGAGGAAGUAACUGCAGAUGUUGUGAAAAUACCAAAAACCUAGAAUUAGAAGUGGACCCUGAAGAUCUGAAUAAAUUGCUGUCAUCUCAUGAUAAAAUUUUAAUGGAAGAGGAAGUGCUUCUUAUAGAUGAACAAAAGGAAUGGUUUCUCUAGUUGGAAUGCACUCAUAGUGAAGAUGUUAUGAACAUUGUUGAAAUGACAACAAAUAAUUUAGUGUAUUACAUAAACUUAGUUAAUAAGGAAGUAGCAAGGUUUGAAAGGAUUGACUCCAUCCAAUUUUGAAAGAUGUUCUAUUGUGGGUAAAAUGCCAUCAAAUGGCAUCACAUGCUACACAUAAAUAUUUCAUGAAAGGAAGAGUCAAAUAAUGCAACAAACUGCAUUGCUUUCUUAUUUUAAGAAAUUGCCGCAGCCACCCCAGUCUUCAGCAACUACCAUCCUAAUCAGUCAGUAGCCAUCAAAGUUGAAGAAAGACCAUACAUCUGAAAAAGAUUACAACUCACUGAAGAUGAUAGUUAACAUUUGUUAGCAUGAAGCAUUUUAAUUAAGGCAUGUAUGUUUGUAGACAUGAUGCUAUUUCACACAUAAUAGACUAAGGUAUAGUGUAAUCAUAACUUUUAUAUGCACUGAAAAACCAAAAAAAUUGUGACACCUGCUUUAUUGUGAUAUUCACGUUAAUGUGGUGGUCUGAAACUGAACCCACAAUAUCUCGAAGUUAUGUCUGUAAACCAAUAUGCGUUUAUUGCUGUGAAAAUAUUUUGUAUAUGCCAUUAACGUCUACAACUGGUUCACUUUAAAUAAAGGAGUUUAUCUCCGGUAAUCUUGGUGGUCCUCAUCUUUUUCCUUUUUUUUUUUUCUUUUUCUUUUUUUUUUUUUUUUUUUUGAGUCAGAGUCUCACUUUAUUGUCAGGCUGCAGUGCAGUGGCGCGAUCUCGGCUCACUGCAACCUCUGCCUCCCGGGUUUAAGCGAUUCCCCUGCAUUAGCCUCCUGAGUAGCUGGGACUACAGGCAUGUGCCACCAUGCGCAGCUCAUUUUUGGUCUUCAUCUUAUCAGAUAAAAAGCUUAAUGACAAACCUGAAUUUCCCUGAGGAAAAAUAAAUUCUGCCUCAAGACUGCAGCACAAGCACCUGCCAUUGAGUUCCCAGGCUGUUUUUGGCUUGUUUUAUAGAAAAGAUACUGUUCAUUCCCCACAACCUCAUAAGCCAAUUCCUUGAAAUAAAUCUCCCUUAUGCCUAUGCUCAUUUCCAUAGACACAGAGAACCAUUUGACAAAAUCCAUCAUUCAUUACUAAUACAAACUCUCUUAAAACUAGGAAUACAAGGAGAAUGUAUGGAAAAUCUAAUGAAAACACCAUACUUAAUAGUGCAAGACUGA
Molecule: long non-coding RNA, 3051 nt
Filed under: Homo sapiens (human)
Lineage: Eukaryota; Metazoa; Chordata; Mammalia; Primates; Hominidae
Description: HSALNT0085513
Source: RNAcentral